GUUAGGAAUAUUGGACAAUGGGCGCAAGCCUGAUCCAGCCAUGCCGCGUGAACGAUGAAGGCCUUCGGGUUGUAAAGUUCUUUAGCCGAUGAUUAUAAUGACUGUAGUCGGAAAAUAAGCCCCGGCUAACUUCGUGCCAGCAGCCGCGGUAAUACGAAGGGGGCGAGCGUUAUUCGGAAUCACUGGGCGUAAAGCGUGCGUAGGCGGUUUUGUAAGUUAGGAGUGAAAGCCCAGGGCUCAACCUUGGAAUUGCUCUUAAAACUGCAAGGCUCGAAUCUCGGAGAGGAUAGCGGAAUUUCCAGUGUAGCAGUGAAAUGCGUAGAUAUUGGAAGGAACACCAGUGGCGUAAGCGGCUAUCUGGACGAGUAUUGACGCUGAGGCACGAAAGCGUGGGGAUCAAACAGGAUGAGAUACCCCGGUAGUCC
This 425-nucleotide ribosomal RNA is filed under the name uncultured bacterium. Its description in RNAcentral is "partial 16S ribosomal RNA". It matches the Rfam family "Bacterial small subunit ribosomal RNA", at positions 354 to 796 of the family's 1533-position model. The record is from RNAcentral.